This is a long non-coding RNA of Pollicipes pollicipes, 220 nucleotides long. RefSeq lists it as uncharacterized. NCBI's taxonomy places the organism in Eukaryota, Metazoa, Arthropoda, Thecostraca, Pollicipedomorpha, Pollicipedidae. The record is from RefSeq and is a predicted model, not a curated record. The transcript is spliced from 3 exons.
CCACGACGCUCGGCAUGUAUCCGGGGUUCUAUCUGUAAAAUUAGGGUGGUAACUUGCACGUAAACGAUAUUUUCGAAGACAGCACCCAGCCACAACACUGCCCAGCCAUGUCAGAAUGUUCAGUACUAGAGGCUGCCUUACGGCACAACCCGCUUUUUUUCCUGGCGGCUCCAAACACACUGAAGAAGCGAACAGAGGCAAAUUCAGAACCCAAGUAAGC